Long non-coding RNA from Canis lupus familiaris (dog), 1311 nucleotides. RefSeq lists it as uncharacterized. NCBI's taxonomy places the organism in Eukaryota, Metazoa, Chordata, Mammalia, Carnivora, Canidae. The record is from RefSeq and is a predicted model, not a curated record. The transcript is spliced from 4 exons.
GGUUAAGCUUGUAGAAAGCCCAUGUCAACAGAGGGAAACACUGUGACCACCUGUGUACUUUGGCUGCAAUAGUGUGUACACAACAAGUGCAUACAAAGGCCUGGGAAAAACACAGGAAAGCAAAAGUUGAGUGGUUUCAACUUGAUUACAUGCUUGAGGCACAGCACUCACUUAAGAUGUGUUUCCAGAGCUCAAGGGCCCUAAGCCAUCAAGAGGCCCCCAUUACUGGGACAAUGUGCAUUCUAUUCUAUUGGUAAAACAGGUAUCUGCAAAACGAUCUGAAGGAUGAAGACAUGUCCUGGCAAAAUUACUUUGUGGAAGCUUCAAAGUCAGCUAUCAUUUGCGGGAUCCCAGCAGUAGAAGAGAGAAACGGGGGCAGAAAACUUAUGUGAAGAAUAGCUGAGAAGUUCCUCAAUCUGGAAAGGAAACAGCCAGAUCCAGGAAGCAUGGAGAGCCCCUAACAAGAUGAACCCAAGGAGCACCACAUCAAGACACAUAACAAUUAAAAUAGCAAAAAAAGUAAUGGUAAAAGAGAGAAUCUUAAAAGGAGAAAAAGAAAAUAAUGAUGUGCAAGAGAAACCCCAUAAAGCACUCUACUGACAUUUCAGCAGAAACUGCACAGGCCAAAAGAGAGUAGUGUGAAAUAUUCCAAAUACUAAAAGGAAAAGAACCUGCAACCAAGAAUACUAUACCCAGAAACAGUAUCAUUCAGAAUAGCAGGAGAGAUAAAGGGUUUUCCAAACAAAAUUUAAAUGAGUACAUUACCAGUGAACCAGCCUUAAAAGAAACAUUAAUGGGAAUUAUUUAAGUGGAAAGAAAAGGCCAUAACUAGAAUUGAGAAAAUUAAGAAAGGGAAAAUUUUCAUAGGUAAAAAGCAAACAUGGUAAAAUCAGUAGAUUAAUCACUUACAAAGCCAGUAUAUAGAUUAAAAUAUAAAAGUAGUAAAAUAUAUUUAUAAAAAUUAGCCAAGGGGUACAUAAAAUAAAAUGACAUAAAAUAUGACAUACAUAAGAUGUGGAGGGGAGAGUAAAAAUGUAGUGCUUUUAGAUGUAUUUGGACUUAAGUGGCCAUUAACUUAAUAUAGACUGCUAUACACAUAAGAUGUUAUAUAUGAAACUAAUGGUAGCCACAAAUUAAAAAUAUAUGAUGCACACAUACAAAAAAAAUGGAGAAAGGAAUCCAAGCAUAGACCAUAAAACUACAAGGGAAAAGAACAAGAAGAAAGUAACAGAAGAACUUCAAAAACAACUAGAAAACAACAAAAUAGCAGUACAUACCUAUCAAAAGUCACUUUAAAUGUAAGUGAACUAA